This is a long non-coding RNA of Daktulosphaira vitifoliae (grape phylloxera), 523 nucleotides long. RefSeq lists it as uncharacterized. The transcript is spliced from 2 exons. The record is from RefSeq and is a predicted model, not a curated record. NCBI's taxonomy places the organism in Eukaryota, Metazoa, Arthropoda, Insecta, Hemiptera, Phylloxeridae.
UUGUAUAAUAAAUUAUUUAUAAGUAUUCGUUAAUUAUCAUCUUAUUAUAAUUAAGUAUACUUAAUAAAAAUUUUAGGUAAAACUAAUCGAAUAUUUUUUAAAACCAUUCGGUAGCCCAUUCGAAUAGUUUUUAAAACUAUUCGAUAGUUUAUGCUAAAAAUAAACUAUUCGAUAGUUUAAAAUAUUCGAAAAUGCUCAUCACUACUUAUAUCCUUUAGUGAUGGAUGAAAUUACUAGAGAAAUAUAAGGAGAAGCGCCAUGGUGCAUGUUGUUUGCUGACGAUAUAGUGUUAAUAGGAGAAAAAAGGGAGGAAAUUAAUCAAAGGCUAGAGAUGUGGAAAGUUUUAAGUAUUUAGGGUCAGUUGUGCAAAUGAGCAGUGGUAUUGAUGAGGACGCAAGACACAGGAUUAAGUACGAGCGGUUGAAGUGGGGAGAAGCAUCUGGUGUUUUAUGCGAUAAAAGAAUUCCUAUGUGGCUGAAAGGUAAAUUCUACAAGACUGUAGUGAGACCAGCCAUGAUAUAUG